Molecule: non-coding RNA, 942 nt
Organism: Lolium perenne
Lineage: Eukaryota; Viridiplantae; Streptophyta; Magnoliopsida; Poales; Poaceae
Source: RefSeq, a predicted model, not a curated record
UGAUGAUUUUCUGUAAACUUUUUGUUGUUUUCUUGUGCUGACUAGGUUUUAAUUUGUUUCAACUACAACAUGCUCGUAGUAGUAUUCAGCUUCUUGGAACAAGCAAAUUUUAUUCUAGACUAAACAGGAAUAAUAAAUAGAAAAUCGGAUACUGUUAUGUUAUUAUGUAUAGUGGACAAAUUUUGUUACUUGGAUCCGAUCAUGUGGUCAUUUAAUAUAAAUAAUUACUCAUUGGUUAUUAGUUUUCAUGUACAGUCAGAUUUUUACGAGAUAUCACACGGUAUUAUACUUUUCACAUUAUUACAGUGGCACCAUCGAUAGUACACAUGACAAUCUCUAAUACUAUGAAGAGGGAGAUUCAUCAUCUGUCCUGCGCUGCGACCCAUGAUCUGCACCUGUAAGAAAAACCGUUGCCAAAAAAGAUCAUGGCGAAAGAACCAGUUUGCAUGUGUGUUCAUGCUAAUGUGUUUCAAUUCGAGCAUGACAAAGUAGUCAGCACGGGACAUCAUUGAGGUGUGGAAGGGUUAGGUGGAAGAGGACAGCCUCGCCACCAUACGAAGGCCGUCAGCGAGGCCAUGGCUAUGAUGCUGCACCUGCAGAGGGAGAAGGCCCAUGUCCAGAUGGACCUUUGCCAGUUCUUUUGCCUUGCCGACAGGAAGCUCGUCAUUCUUGCCGCCAAGCUUGAGAUUAUGGUUCCCACUGCAGCGUCAAGGACAGCGAAGAAAUCAACAUGAUAUUCGACGCCGAAGAGAAGGGUUUGAGAUUCACCACAUCUUCUCUCUGUCCGUCUACAUACCUCAUAUGCUCAGAGUGUUCUUUGCUCAUAGAAGGUUAUAUCAUAAUUUUUAAGAGGAGAAGCGUAUCAUUGUAACAAUAGUAAUUCAUGUUCUCUGCUAGAUUGAACUAUCAAAGUGAUGAACUGUGAAAGCUAUUCUGUUUUUA